UAACUGCCAAUUAUACGGGCAUUCUUCCCGU
RNAcentral lists this small RNA (31 nucleotides) under Bombyx mori (domestic silkworm). Its description in RNAcentral is "ovarian small RNA-19014". Lineage: Eukaryota; Metazoa; Arthropoda; Insecta; Lepidoptera; Bombycidae. The record is from RNAcentral.